This 417-nucleotide long non-coding RNA is filed under the name Hordeum vulgare. Its description in RNAcentral is "long non-coding RNA (HVUL_LNC020468)". Lineage: Eukaryota; Viridiplantae; Streptophyta; Magnoliopsida; Poales; Poaceae. The record is from RNAcentral.
UUCUGAGUAGAAAAUACAAGUAAAGAUAUUGUACUAAAUGAUAAUAUAGCAUGACAUUCACAUUUGGGAGGGAACAACACAACAACACACGCCGUGAUACGAGUCCAUGCACACUGAGUAAACAAAACAUGGGGUUCCAAAAGCAGCGUUGGUACCUAAACACAGCGAAGGGAGCACCACACCACACAAAUUAAUUAAUAUGGAAUAUGGGAUACAUAAUCAUUUGGGCGUGUUGAAUAUUGGGAAACUCCUCGAGGAAAUGAAUUUGGAAAUUACCUACGUUCCUCACUGCUGCUGCAUGGCGACACAGAGAAGUGGUACACAUCAAUAAAAGAGCAAUAGAAUAGAGAAUGUGUGUCUUGUUCUUGAUAAGUCUCAUGAUGAAGACUGCCUUUCUAUUACUUAUUUUCUCUUGAC